UUAAACACAAUAUCGUAAGAAGUUACCUUAAACGUAAUCAAUUUUUAUAAGGUAUAUUAUUGUGUUACUUGUGACUUGGAGCCUCACGAUUGCAGGUGAUAUUAAAUUCGUUCGUUAGUUAUCUGUAAGUUACUUUCUUUAGAAAUUCGUUAAUGUUAAUGAUCUCAGCUUUUAAAACCAAUUCUCUAUCAUUGUAUUAGAAAUUGUAGAACUUAUUUCUUGAUUUAACUCUUAACUCUUGGAAGUAUAUCACCGUGGAACUAUUCAGAUCAGUGUUCAUACAAGUUUAGCCAAGUACUGUUGGAAGUACUGCUGUGACCUUUAAGAAAAUUGCUAUCUGCAUUGAUCAGUGGUUAAGUCCUUAUGGUUUGUUCAUCAUACAGAGCAGCGUACCUUAAGGAUUUAUUUGGUGGAAACUUUUAUUAUCGUGAACUAAAACUUAAACAAAAUGACCAUUCUUGAUUUAGAAAUUGAAGAAUCCGACUUUAAUGAAACAGAGCUUUCAUUGAUAAUGGAAGACCUUCGGGAGGCCAUCAGAACUCAUAACUCUAUAGAUGACAUAAUGAUCUGUAUUCAAAACUGUUGGAAUGAUAAGGGAAUAACGGACUAUAAUAUUGCUUAUAACCAAGAAUUUAUUCACCUAUUUCGUGAAUUUUAUAGUCAUUAUGCAAGAAUUAGAUAUAUGCAGUACAAAAUUCAAAUAACCAAACCCAAGGGCAAAUAGCUCUUGAAAACAAUCUUAUAUAAUUAUAAUUUUA
Molecule: long non-coding RNA, 758 nt
Organism: Teleopsis dalmanni
Lineage: Eukaryota; Metazoa; Arthropoda; Insecta; Diptera; Diopsidae
Exons: 3
Source: RefSeq, a predicted model, not a curated record